Molecule: ribosomal RNA, 424 nt
Filed under: uncultured bacterium
Lineage: Bacteria
Description: bacterial SSU rRNA
Rfam family: Bacterial small subunit ribosomal RNA
Source: RNAcentral
GAAUAUUGGACAAUGGGCGAAAGCCUGAUCCAGCAAUGCCGCGUGUGUGAAGAAGGCCCUCGGGUUGUAAAGCACUUUUAUCAGGAACGAAAUACCACGGGUUAAUAACCUAUGGGGCUGACGGUACCUAAGGAAUAAGCACCGGCUAACUUCGUGCCAGCAGCCGCGGUAAUACGAAGGGUGCAAGCGUUAAUCGGAAUUACUGGGCGUAAAGGGUGCGUAGGCGGUUGUUUAAGUCUGUCGUGAAAUCCCCGGGCUCAACCUGGGAAUGGCGAUGGAUACUGGGCAGCUAGAGUGUGUCAGAGGAUGGUGGAAUUCCCGGUGUAGCGGUGAAAUGCGUAGAGAUCGAGAGGAACAUCAGUGGCGAAGGCGGCCAUCUGGGACAACACUGACGCUGAAGCACGAAAGCGUGGGGAGCAAACAG